UUAAAGGUUUCAAAUGAUUCAAAACAAAACAAAGCUUUCUUCAAUUAAAAAAGAAGAAGAAGAAGGUUUGUCAUAUUGCCAACUAAUACAAUUUAUACGCUUUGGUGGUAUUGAAGGUAUCAAAGAUUCAACAAGAAUUAAGAUUUCUCUAAGAUAUCAAAAGAUUCAAAGCUAUGAGGAUGGUUAUGGGUUUAUGGGUUCUAUUUGUUGUUGGGUUUGUUAGCAAAUGUGUAGAUGGGUUUGAGUAUUUCAAUCUGACAGAGCUUCGAUUUGAAUCUUUCUAUGGAGUCUCUGCUUCCAACGGACGACUAGCAGAUUGCAAAUGUGCUUUUGAGGCUAUUUUCAACUUUGGCGAUUCGAAUUCCGACACGGGCGGGUUUUGGGCAGCUUUUCCCGCACAGUCCGGGCCUUAUGGGAUGACCUACUUCAAGAAACCGGCCGGUCGGGCUACUGAUGGGAGGCUCAUGAUUGAUUUCUUAGGUAAAUUUUUAGAUAAUUAAUUUCUUUAUUGAGUUAAUUUCUUUGCAAACUUGCAUUUUCUUUGUUGGAAGAUAGAAAUUGAUGCACAAGUUAUCUCAUUGUGAAAUGUCAAGUGUGAACACACACACACACACAGAUGCCAGGCACACUUUCUUGCAUUUUCUUUUCAGCCAAACAGUGAGCAUAAUGGUUCUCUUAGGAUGAGGAUCCAUUUGGCUGAUAUGAACAUUGGCAUUUUUUGUUUGUGUUGCUGAACUGUGUUCACACAAAUAGUGCAGUUGUCUUGUUCUUCAUUGGAUCUUCUAUUAUCUUUUUAGUGCUCAACUACUUUUCAAAGACACAAUCUCCAGAGUGUUUAAUGAUUUAAUUAUAUACUAAAAAUUAAUUAAUUUUUGUUAAAUCAUUAAACUAAAAAAUUAUUAACCAUGAGUGGAGAGACUUCUGAAAUAUUAA
Molecule: non-coding RNA, 933 nt
Organism: Camellia sinensis
Lineage: Eukaryota; Viridiplantae; Streptophyta; Magnoliopsida; Ericales; Theaceae
Source: RefSeq, a predicted model, not a curated record